Molecule: ribosomal RNA, 242 nt
Filed under: uncultured bacterium
Lineage: Bacteria
Description: partial 16S ribosomal RNA
Rfam family: Bacterial small subunit ribosomal RNA
Source: RNAcentral
CACGUAGGGAGCAAGCGUUGUCCGGAUUUAUUGGGCGUAAAGAGCUCGUAGGCGGUUCGAUAAGUCAGACGUGAAAUCCCUCGGCUUAACCGGGGAACUGCGUCUGAUACUGGAUGGCUUGAGUUUGGGAGAGGGAUGCGGAAUUCCAGGUGUAGCGGUGAAAUGCGUAGAUAUCUGGAGGAACACCGGUGGCGAAGGCGGCAUCCUGGACCGGCAUUGACGCUGAGGCGCGAAAGCCAGGG